Molecule: ribosomal RNA, 1254 nt
Filed under: metagenome
Description: bacterial LSU rRNA
Rfam family: Bacterial large subunit ribosomal RNA
Source: RNAcentral
GGAGAACUCGGGUGAAGGAACUAGGCAAAAUGGUGCCGUAACUUCGGGAGAAGGCACGCUGAUAUGUAGGUGAGGCGACUUGCUCGUGGAGCUGAAAUCAGUCGAAGAUACCAGCUGGCUGCAACUGUUUAUUAAAAACACAGCACUGUGCAAACACGAAAGUGGACGUAUACGGUGUGACGCCUGCCCGGUGCCGGAAGGUUAAUUGAUGGGGUUAGCGCAAGCGAAGCUCUUGAUCGAAGCCCCGGUAAACGGCGGCCGUAACAAUAACGGUCCUAAGGUAGCGAAAUUCCUUGUCGGGUAAGUUCCGACCUGCACGAAUGGCGUAAUGAUGGCCAGGCUGUCUCCACCCGAGACUCAGUGAAAUUGAACUCGCUGUGAAGAUGCAGUGUACCCGCGGCAAGACGGAAAGACCCCGUGAACCUUUACUAUAGCUUGACACUGAACAUUGAGCCUUGAUGUGUAGGAUAGGUGGGAGGCUUAGAAGUGUGGACGCCAGUCUGCAUGGAGCCGACCUUGAAAUACCACCCUUUAAUGUUUGAUGUUCUAACGUUGACCCGUAAUCCGGGUUGCGGACAGCGUCUGGUGGGUAGUUUGACUGGGGCGGUCUCCUCCUAAAGAGUAACGGAGGAGCACGAAGGUUGGCUAAUCAUGGUCGGACAUCAGGAGGUUAGUGCAAUGGCAUAAGCCAGCUUGACUACGAGCGUGACGGCGCGAGCAGGUGCGAAAGCAGGUCAUAGUGAUCCGGUGGUUCUGAAUGGAAGGGCCAUCGCUCAACGGAUAAAAGGUACUCCGGGGAUAACAGGCUGAUACCGCCCAAGAGUUCAUAUCGACGGCGGUGUUUGGCACCUCGAUGUCGGCUCAUCACAUCCUGGGGCUGAAGUAGGUCCCAAGGGUAUGGCUGUUCGCCAUUUAAAGUGGUACGCGAGCUGGGUUUAGAACGUCGUGAGACAGUUCGGUCCCUAUCUGCCGUGGGCGCUGGAGAACUGAGGGGGGCUGCUCCUAGUACGAGAGGACCGGAGUGGACGCAUCACUGGUGUUCGGGUUGUCAUGCCAAUGGCACUGCCCGGUAGCUAAAUGCGGAAGAGAUAAGUGCUGAAAGCAUCUAAGCACGAAACUUGCCCCGAGAUGAGUUCUCCCUGACCCUUUAAGGGUCCUGAAGGAACGUUGAAGACGACGACGUUGAUAGGCCGGGUGUGUAAGCGCAGCGAUGCGUUGAGCUAACCGGUACUAAUGAACCGUGAGGCUUAACCU